AGGGAUUGCUCGUAUCCA
Molecule: small nuclear RNA, 18 nt
Filed under: Arabidopsis thaliana (thale cress)
Lineage: Eukaryota; Viridiplantae; Streptophyta; Magnoliopsida; Brassicales; Brassicaceae
Description: snRNA_11897
Source: RNAcentral